UGGAGGAAACUUUGGAAACUCAAGCUCCCACGUAAAGUUUCUAUCUUUUGUUGGCGGGCAUUGCAUGGAAUAAUCCCCCUAAAAUCCAUUGUUGCUAAUCGCCAUGUUGGAAGUGAAAGCGGGUGCCCAAUAUGCCAUGGAGGGGCUGAAGAUAUUAAACAUCUUCUGUUCGGCUGCAUGCAUGCGAAGGAAUUAUGGAGAAGUUUUGGAAUAUUAGAAAUUGUUGAACAAGCUAUGGAGGGGCAGCGAUCAGGAUCGGUGGUCCUGGAAAAUUUGAUGUUGAUGGAUGACCGCUCGCUUGCUCUUAAGCCAGGUUUAGAUGUCAAACAAGUCAUUGCAGUGGGGGGAUGGUAUCUGUGGUGGAUCCGU
RNAcentral lists this ribosomal RNA (369 nucleotides) under Triticum aestivum (bread wheat). RNAcentral's name for it is "partial small subunit ribosomal RNA". Lineage: Eukaryota; Viridiplantae; Streptophyta; Magnoliopsida; Poales; Poaceae. The record is from RNAcentral.